Molecule: ribosomal RNA, 64 nt
Filed under: Methylobacterium organophilum
Lineage: Bacteria; Pseudomonadati; Pseudomonadota; Alphaproteobacteria; Hyphomicrobiales; Methylobacteriaceae
Source: RNAcentral
GUUAAACACGCCAGCGCCCAUGGUACUGUGUCUCAAGACACGGGAGAGUCGGUCGCCGCCAGAC